RNAcentral lists this small RNA (702 nucleotides) under Pongo abelii (Sumatran orangutan). Its description in RNAcentral is "retained intron". The record is from RNAcentral. Lineage: Eukaryota; Metazoa; Chordata; Mammalia; Primates; Hominidae.
UAUUCUGCAGAGCCAAAAGAAGCCCCUAGAAACACAAGGAUGGUAUCCAGGCCCCCCUAGAGUCCUGGGGAGGAUCCACACCGUCUGUGGAUUGCUCUCUGAAAUUGGGUAGAUGAACCAUCAACCCUCAUUUUCAUUUUAUGUCAUGUUUAGAAUUGUGUGUGAUAGAGGCUGUACAUACACAUUUUACAGGAAGCGCCUGGCACUGUGUGAGGCUGGCGGUUGAAUGGUCAGGACUAUAGUAGUGGCUCUAAGCCAGACUCACAGCCCUUUCUCAUUUCUCGCUCCAUCCCCCACUCCGUUCAUUUCCAGGCCUUUCCACGAAGAGUCCUCAGCCUUCUCCCUCCAGCCAGAAGAGCCCUCUGAGUCUGAGCCCUGCAUUUCAGGUGCCUUUGGGCCCAGCUGAACAGGGCUCAUCCCCACUCCUGAGCCCUGUCCUCAGUGAUGCUGGCGGAGCCGGGAUGGACUACGAGGAGCCGAGACACAAGCGCAUGCCUGCAGAUGAGGCCUACUUCAUAGUCAAAGAGAUUCUCGCUACAGAACGAACAUACCUGAAAGAUUUAGAAGUUAUUACCGUGUGGUUCCGCAGCGCAGUGGUGAAGGAGGACGCCAUGCCUGCGACUCUGAUGACACUGCUCUUCUCCAACAUCGAUCCCAUCUAUGAGUUCCACAGAGGCUUCCUGCGCGAGGUGGAGCAGAGGC